GGGAAACUGCCUGAUGGAGGGGGAUAACUACUCGAAACGGUAGCUAAUACCGCAUAACGUCGCAAGACCAAAGAGGGGGACCUUCGGGCCUCUUGCCAUCCGAUGUGCCCAGAUGGGAUUAGCUAGUAGGAGGGGUAAUGGCUCACCUAGGCGACGAUCCCUAGCUGGUCUGAGAGGAUGACCAGCCACACUGGAACUGAGACACGGUCCAGACUCCUACGGGAGGCAGCAGUGGGGAAUAUUGCACAAUGGGCGCAAGCCUGAUGCAGCCAUGCCGCGUGUGUGAUGAAGGCCUUCGGGUUGUAAAGCACUUUCAGCGAGGAGGAAGGUGGUGAGCUUAAUACGCUCAUCAAUUGACGUUACUCGCAGAAGAAGCACCGGCUAACUCCUUGCCAGCAGCCGCGGUAAUACGGAGGGUGCAAGCGUUAAUCGGAAUUACUGGGCGUAAAGCGCACGCAGGCGGUUUGUUAUGUCAGAUGUGAUAUCCCCGGGCUCAACCUGGGAACUGCAUUUGAAACUGGCAAGCUAGAGUCUCGUAGAGGGGGGUAGAAUUCCAGGUGUAGCGGUGAAAUGCGUAGAGAUCUGGAGGAAUACCGGUGGCGAAGGCGGCCCCCUGGACGAAGACUGACGCUCAGGUGCGAAAGCGUG
This 648-nucleotide ribosomal RNA is filed under the name Serratia nematodiphila. RNAcentral's name for it is "bacterial SSU rRNA". It matches the Rfam family "Bacterial small subunit ribosomal RNA", at positions 120 to 763 of the family's 1533-position model. The record is from RNAcentral. Lineage: Bacteria; Pseudomonadati; Pseudomonadota; Gammaproteobacteria; Enterobacterales; Yersiniaceae.